Molecule: ribosomal RNA, 437 nt
Filed under: Sphingomonas sp. '5.5 MW-1'
Lineage: Bacteria; Pseudomonadati; Pseudomonadota; Alphaproteobacteria; Sphingomonadales; Sphingomonadaceae
Description: bacterial SSU rRNA
Rfam family: Bacterial small subunit ribosomal RNA
Source: RNAcentral
UGGAGAUUUGAUCCUGGCUCAGAACGAACGCUGGCGGCAUGCCUAAUACAUGCAAGUCGAACGAGACCUUCGGGUCUAGUGGCGCACGGGUGCGUAACGCGUGGGAAUCUGCCCUUGGGUUCGGAAUAACUUCGGGAAACUGAAGCUAAUACCGGAUGAUGACGAAAGUCCAAAGAUUUAUCGCCCAGGGAUGAGCCCGCGUAGGAUUAGCUAGUUGGUGGGGUAAAGGCUCACCAAGGCAACGAUCCUUAGCUGGUCUGAGAGGAUGAUCAGCCACACUGGGACUGAGACACGGCCCAGACUCCUACGGGAGGCAGCAGUAGGGAAUAUUGGACAAUGGGCGAAAGCCUGAUCCAGCAAUGCCGCGUGAGUGAUGAAGGCCUUAGGGUUGUAAAGCUCUUUUACCCGAGAUGAUAAUGACAGUAUCGGGAGAAUAA